AUCCGAGAGAUCGUAGAUCGAGGUGACAUCGACCUUCAAAAGAUCGACGGAAAGGAGAACCUGACCGACCCCUUUAGUAAAGCCCUGGCGAUAAAGGAGAUAAACAACCAUAAGUCGAAGAUGGAUAUUAGAUACUGUGUCAAGUGGCUUUAGGACAAGUGGGAGUUAUUGAAAAAUAUGUCUCAAAAGUCAAUCGUCAACCUAU
This 205-nucleotide long non-coding RNA is filed under the name Elaeis guineensis (African oil palm). RNAcentral's name for it is "long non-coding RNA (EGUI_LNC081269)". Lineage: Eukaryota; Viridiplantae; Streptophyta; Magnoliopsida; Arecales; Arecaceae. The record is from RNAcentral.